UACGUAGGGGGCGAGCGUUAUCCGGAUUCACUGGGUGUAAAGGGAGCGUAGACGGCCAUGCAAGCCAGGGGUGAAAGCCCGGGGCCCAACCCCGGGACUGCCCUUGGAACUGCAUGGCUGGAGUGCGGGAGGGGCAGGCGGAAUUCCUGGUGUAGCGGUGAAAUGCGUAGAUAUAUGGAGGAACACCGGUGGCGAAAGCGGCUCUCUGGUCUGUAACUGACGCUGAGGCUCGAAAGCGUGGGUAGCGAACAGG
Molecule: ribosomal RNA, 253 nt
Filed under: uncultured bacterium
Lineage: Bacteria
Description: partial 16S ribosomal RNA
Rfam family: Bacterial small subunit ribosomal RNA
Source: RNAcentral